GGUCGCUUGCCGGAGUGGUUGAACGGAGCGGUCUUGAAAACCGUCAGGCCUGAAAGGGUCUCCGGGGUUCGAAUCCCCGAGCGACCG
RNAcentral lists this transfer RNA (87 nucleotides) under Aliiruegeria haliotis. It matches the Rfam family "tRNA". From Rfam's summary of the family: Transfer RNA (tRNA) molecules are approximately 80 nucleotides in length. Lineage: Bacteria; Pseudomonadati; Pseudomonadota; Alphaproteobacteria; Rhodobacterales; Roseobacteraceae. The record is from Rfam by way of RNAcentral.